Molecule: non-coding RNA, 128 nt
Organism: Salvelinus sp. IW2-2015
Lineage: Eukaryota; Metazoa; Chordata; Actinopteri; Salmoniformes; Salmonidae
Source: RefSeq, a predicted model, not a curated record
CCUGUCGCUUAGUGACCACAGCAAAGACAAAGAUGGAGAGACCGAGGGCAGUGAGGCCCCAGUCAGAGAUUGUUCAUCUCCUAGCCUGCAGAGGACCCCAACCCACACGUCUCUCUCUCCUCCCUAGC